This 427-nucleotide ribosomal RNA is filed under the name uncultured bacterium. Its description in RNAcentral is "bacterial SSU rRNA". It matches the Rfam family "Bacterial small subunit ribosomal RNA", at positions 355 to 796 of the family's 1533-position model. The record is from RNAcentral.
CCGAGAAUAUUCGACAAUGGGCGAAAGCCUGAUCGAGCGACGCCGCGUGCUGGAUGAAGUGCUUCGGUACGUAAACAGCUUUUAUCGGGGACGAACUAAUUGACGGUACCCGAUGAAUAAGGGGCUCCUAACUCUGUGCCAGCAGGAGCGGUAAUACAGAGGCCCCGAGCAUUAUCCGGAAUCACUGGGCGUAAAGGGUGUCUAGGCGGCCAAGUUAGUCGCGUGUAAAAUCCGUGGGCUCAACCUACGGUCCGCACGCGAAACGGCUUGGCUCGAGAGCGCGAGAGGUGCACGGAACUCAUGGUGGAGGGGUGAAAUCCGUUGAUAUCAUGGGGAACACCAAAGGCGAAGGCAGUGCACUGGCGCGUUUCUGACGCUCAAACACGAAAGCUAGGGGAGCGAACGGGAUUAGAUACCCGCGUAGUCC